AUACGUAGGUGACAAGCGUUAUCCGGAUUUACUGGGCGUAAAGGGCGUGUAGGCGGUCUUGCAAGUCAGAAGUGAAAUUCCUGAGCUCAACUCGGGCGCUGCUUCUGAAACUGCAGGACUUGAGUGCUGGAGGGGAUAGCGGAAUUCCUAGUGGAGCGGUAAAAUGCGCAGAUAUUAGGAAGAACUCCGGUGGCGAAGGCGGCUAUCUGGACAGUAACUGACGCUGAGGCGCGAAAGCGUGGGGAGCAAACAGGAUUAGAUACCCUGGUGGUCCACGCCGUAAACGAUGAAUACUAGGUGUAGGGGGUAUCGACUCCCUCUGUGCCGCAGUUAACACAAUAAGUAUUCCGCCUGGGGAGUACGGCCGCAAGGUUGAAACUCAAAUGAAUUGACGGGG
RNAcentral lists this ribosomal RNA (397 nucleotides) under uncultured bacterium. RNAcentral describes it as "partial 16S ribosomal RNA". It matches the Rfam family "Bacterial small subunit ribosomal RNA", at positions 523 to 918 of the family's 1533-position model. The record is from RNAcentral.